AGUCGAACGGCAGCGCGGACUUCGGUCUGGCGGCGAGUGGCGAACGGGUGAGUAAUGUAUCGGAACGUGCCCCGUAGCGGGGGAUAACUACGCGAAAGCGUAGCUAAUACCGCAUACGCCCUGAGGGGGAAAGCGGGGGAUCUUCGGACCUCGCACUAUUGGAGCGGCCGAUAUCGGAUUAGCUAGUUGGUGGGGUAACGGCUCACCAAGGCGACGAUCCGUAUCUGGUUUGAGAGGACGACCAGCCACACUGGGACUGAGACACGGCCCAGACUCCUACGGGAGGCAGCAGUGGGGAAUUUUGGACAAUGGGGGCAACCCUGAUCCAGCCAUCCCGCGUGUGCGAUGAAGGCCUUCGGGUUGUAAAGCACUUUUGGCAGGAAAGAAACGGCGCUGGCUAAUACCUGGCGCAACUGACGGUACCUGCAAAAUAAGCACCGGCUAACUACGUGCCAGCAGCCGCGGUAAUACGUAGGGUGCAGGCGUUAAUCGGAAUUACUGGGCGUAAAGCGUGCGCAGGCGGUUCGGAAAGAAAGAUGUGAAAUCCCAGGGCUUAACCUUGGAACUGCAUUUUUAACUACCGGGCUAGAGUGUGUCAGAGGGGGGUGGAAUUCCACGUGUAGCAGUGAAAUGCGUAGA
Molecule: ribosomal RNA, 639 nt
Filed under: Bordetella sp. enrichment culture clone PAH3
Lineage: Bacteria; Pseudomonadati; Pseudomonadota; Betaproteobacteria; Burkholderiales; Alcaligenaceae
Description: bacterial SSU rRNA
Rfam family: Bacterial small subunit ribosomal RNA
Source: RNAcentral